Molecule: ribosomal RNA, 254 nt
Filed under: uncultured bacterium
Lineage: Bacteria
Description: partial 16S ribosomal RNA
Rfam family: Bacterial small subunit ribosomal RNA
Source: RNAcentral
UACGUAGGGUGCGAGCGUUGUCCGGAAUUAUUGGGCGUAAAGAGCUCGUAGGCGGUGUGUCACGUCGGCCGUGAAAACCUGGGGCUUAACUCUGGGCGUGCGGUCGAUACGGGCAUCACUAGAGUUCGGCAGGGGAGACUGGAAUUCCUGGUGUAGCGGUGAAAUGCGCAGAUAUCGAGAGGAACAUCUGUGGCGAAGGCGGCUUACUGGUCCGGUUCUGACGCUGAGGCGCGAAAGCGUGGGGAGCAAACAGG